This 429-nucleotide ribosomal RNA is filed under the name Pseudomonadota bacterium. RNAcentral's name for it is "Proteobacteria bacterium partial 16S ribosomal RNA". It matches the Rfam family "Bacterial small subunit ribosomal RNA", at positions 355 to 776 of the family's 1533-position model. The record is from RNAcentral. Lineage: Bacteria; Pseudomonadati; Pseudomonadota.
UGGGGAAUAUUGGACAAUGGGCGAAAGCCUGAUCCAGCCAUGCCGCGUGUGUGACGAAGGUCUUCGGAUUGUAAAGCACUUUAAGUUGGGAGGAAGGGCAGUAAGCGAAUACCUUGCUGUUUUUACGUUACCGACAGAAUAAGCACCGGCUAACUCUGUGCCAGCAGCCGCGGUAAUACAGAGGGUGCAAGCGUUAAUCGGAAUUACUGGGCGUAAAGCGCGCGUAGGUGGUUCGUUAAGUUGAAUGUGAAAGCCCCGGGCUCAACCUGGGAACUGCAUCCAAAACUGGCGAGCUAGAGUAGGGCAGAGGGUGGUGGAAUUUCCUGUGUAGCGGUGAAAUGCGUAGAUAUAGGAAGGAACACCAGUGGCGAAGGCGACCACCUGGGCUCAUACUGACACUGAGGUGCGAAAGAGUGGGGAGCAAACAGG